GACGAACGCUGGCGGCGUGCUUAACACAUGCAAGUCGAACGGAAAGGCCCUGCUUUUGUGGGGUGCUCGAGUGGCGAACGGGUGAGUAACACGUGAGUAACCUGCCCUUGACUUUGGGAUAACUUUAGGAAACUGGGGCUAAUACCGGAUAGGAGCUUCUGCUGCAUGGUGGGGGUUGGAAAGUUUCGGCGGUUGGGGAUGGACUCGCGGCUUAUCCGCUUGUUGGUGGGGUAGUGGCUUACCAAGGCUUUGACGGGUAGCCGGCCUGAGAGGGUUACCGGCCACAUUGGGACUGAGAUACGGCCCAGACUCCUACGGGAGGCAGCAGGGGGGAAUAUUGCACAAUGGGCGGAAGCCUGAUGCAGCAACGCCGCGUGCGGGAUGACGGCCUUCGGGUUGUAAACCGCUUUCGCCUGUGACGAAGCGUGAGUGACGGUAAUGGGUAAAGAAGCACCGGCUAACUACGUG
This 468-nucleotide ribosomal RNA is filed under the name uncultured bacterium. RNAcentral's name for it is "partial 16S ribosomal RNA". It matches the Rfam family "Bacterial small subunit ribosomal RNA", at positions 28 to 507 of the family's 1533-position model. The record is from RNAcentral.